Molecule: non-coding RNA, 1253 nt
Organism: Callithrix jacchus (white-tufted-ear marmoset)
Lineage: Eukaryota; Metazoa; Chordata; Mammalia; Primates; Cebidae
Source: RefSeq, a predicted model, not a curated record
UAGAAGGACGACUAAAGCAUGUUUAGGACACCCGGGCAGCUUCACUGAGAUCCCAGCAUGUGGCAGUCCAGCCAUCACGGGAGCUGCACUGCUGGAGCACAGGAGGACAGCACAUUGUACUCUCACCUCCUACGGUUAAGUGUGGCCAUAUGACUGAAUGCUGGCCAAUAGCAUGUGAAAGAAAAGAAAGAAGAUGAUUCGCCUCCCAAAGAAGGCAAUUCCCCACUGCUGAGUCCCUUCUGUCAACUUGAAUGAAGAAAACACGAUGGGGAGGGAAAUCACGUGUUGAAGAUGGGAGGGCUAAAAGAUGGAAAGAGACUGGAACCCUGAGUCACUACCUGGAGGAAAACCACCCAACCGUCUGGAAUUUUUAUUACACAUUUGUGGGUUUUUGGGUUACAGCAGCCACUUUAACUAAAACACCCCAAGACAAGAGCUGUUAUUACACAAACUGGUUAAGUUACCUUUUUGUAUGUUUGGAUCCUCUCUCUUCGAUUAGACUGCAAGUUCCUUUGAAACACAUCUAUUUAAAAUUCUUAUAUUCCCAGAGAGCCUAGCAAAGAGUAUGCACAGAGUGAGCCUCCAGUAAAUGCUGAGUGAAUAAACUCCUAAUGAAUGAAACUGGGCCUCUGAAGUUUGUUCUGAACAGCACUUGGUAUAGGCUUUUGUGCUGUUGGUCAGUUUUCAUGAAGAUUCUUGCUACUAAGGAAUUUGACACCCAUUGUACUCAGAGAGAGCAGAAUUCCAGGAGAAACCAAUAGAAGAGAUAUGUCCAAAAAUCCAUUGAAAAUUUCACUGAGAGAUAUUUAUCCCUUUAAUCCUGCAAGUUGUUGCAUGUAAUGGAAGGUUCAGUCGGAUGAAAACAGGACUGUGAGCUGGAAAGAGACUUGGAGUCUCUUGGCUGACUCUGCCACAAAUGGUGUUACCUUCAAUUUCUGUGUCUGUAAAAUGAAGUCAGUGGUCUCCAAAACGAAAUCUUGACUAAUGACAAAUCAUUUGAUUAAAUAUCGAUAGGUUCCCCAUGUGAUUUUGAUGCACAAAUCAGAUUUGGAAACCACUAGGCUGUGUGAUCUUGUCCUGUGAGUCUAUCAUUGUCAACAUGGAAAGUAAAUUUGUUUUGCUGACUGAAGGCUGUGUAACUUAGAAGUGGAAAGAGACAUAGAAUUGAGUAACCCAUCUCUAUGGGGUAAAAAGAUGAAACACAUUUAGUUAGUCCAAAGAUAAAAUGGAAAAAUAAAUAUGUUUUAAGAUGA